This 464-nucleotide ribosomal RNA is filed under the name uncultured bacterium. RNAcentral describes it as "bacterial SSU rRNA". It matches the Rfam family "Bacterial small subunit ribosomal RNA", at positions 32 to 524 of the family's 1533-position model. The record is from RNAcentral.
AAUCAACGCUGGCGGCGCGCCUAACACAUGCAAGUCGCACGAGAAAGGGUAGCAAUACCUGAGUAAAGUGGCGCACGGGUGAGUAACACGUGAAUUAUCUACCUCCGAGUGGGGAAUAACUGAGAGAAAUCUUAGCUAAUACCGCAUAACACUUACGAGUCAAAGCAGCAAUGCGCUUGGAGGGGAGUUCGCGGCCGAUUAGUUAGUUGGCGGGGUAAUGGCCCACCAAGACGAUGAUCGGUAUCCGGCCUGAGAGGGCGCACGGACACACUGGAACUGAAACACGGUCCAGACUCCUACGGGAGGCAGCAGUGGGGAAUUUUGCGCAAUGGGGGAAACCCUGACGCAGCAACGCCGCGUGGAGGAUGAAAUCCCUUGGGAUGUAAACUCCUUUCGAUAGGGAAGAUAAUGACGGUACCUAUAGAAGAAGCCCCGGCUAACUUCGUGCCAGCCGCCGCUGUAAU